UGGAAUAUAGCUCAAAUGGUUGGAGCAUCUGACUGAUAUUCAGAAGGGUGUAGGUUCGAGUCCUACUAUUCCAA
RNAcentral lists this transfer RNA (74 nucleotides) under Crassvirales sp. RNAcentral describes it as "tRNA-Ile". It matches the Rfam family "tRNA". From Rfam's summary of the family: Transfer RNA (tRNA) molecules are approximately 80 nucleotides in length. Their secondary structure includes four short double-helical elements and three loops (D, anti-codon, and T loops). Further hydrogen bonds mediate the characteristic L-shaped molecular structure. tRNAs have two regions of fundamental functional importance: the anti-codon, which is responsible for specific mRNA codon recognition, and the 3' end, to which the tRNAs corresponding amino acid is attached (by aminoacyl-tRNA synthetases). tRNAs cope with the degeneracy of the genetic code in two manners: having more than one tRNA (with a specific anti-codon) for a particular amino acid; and 'wobble' base-pairing, i.e. permitting non-standard base-pairing at the 3rd anti-codon position. RNAcentral also lists the same sequence under 1 other name. Lineage: Duplodnaviria; Heunggongvirae; Uroviricota; Caudoviricetes; Crassvirales. The record is from RNAcentral.